UUCGGGGACAUUGGUGACAGGUGGUGCAUGGUUGUCGUCAGCUCGUGUCGUGAGAUGUUGGGUUAAGUCCCGCAACGAGCGCAACCCUUGUCUUUAGUUGCCAUCAUUAAGUUGGGCACUCUAGAGAGACUGCCAGGGAUAACCUGGAGGAAGGUGGGGAUGACGUCAAAUCAUCAUGCCCCUUAUGCUUAGGGCUACACACGUGCUACAAUGGGUAGUACAGAGGGUUGCCAAGCCGUAAGGUGGAGCUAAUCCCUUAAAGCUACUCUCAGUUCGGAUUGUAGGCUGAAACUCGCCUACAUGAAGCUGGAGUUACUAGUAAUCGCAGAUCAGAAUGCUGCGGUGAAUGCGUUCCCGGGUCUUGUACACACCGCCCGUCACACCACGGGAGUUGGAGACGCCCGAAGCCGAUUAUCUAACCUUUUGGAAGAAGUCGUCGAAGGUGGAAUCAAUAACUGGGGUGAAGUCGUAACAAGGUAGCCGUAUCGGAAGGUGCGGCUGGAUCACCUCCUUUCUAAGGAGA
Molecule: ribosomal RNA, 523 nt
Filed under: Clostridioides difficile
Lineage: Bacteria; Bacillati; Bacillota; Clostridia; Peptostreptococcales; Peptostreptococcaceae
Description: bacterial SSU rRNA
Rfam family: Bacterial small subunit ribosomal RNA
Source: RNAcentral